UCGAAGUAGUGCUGCAGGACGGCGCGGUCGCCUCCCAGGCGGCCGAGUGGAGUGCGCUCGCGCCGUCCGAGGUUCGGGCCGUGGCCGCGAG
RNAcentral lists this transfer RNA (91 nucleotides) under Nannocystis exedens. Its description in RNAcentral is "tRNA-Gly". Lineage: Bacteria; Pseudomonadati; Myxococcota; Nannocystales; Nannocystaceae. The record is from RNAcentral.